UCACCUGAGUAUGGGAAGUCAAGGGUGCA
RNAcentral lists this non-coding RNA (29 nucleotides) under Homo sapiens (human). Lineage: Eukaryota; Metazoa; Chordata; Mammalia; Primates; Hominidae. The record is from RNAcentral.